Molecule: non-coding RNA, 2099 nt
Organism: Meleagris gallopavo (turkey)
Lineage: Eukaryota; Metazoa; Chordata; Aves; Galliformes; Phasianidae
Source: RefSeq, a predicted model, not a curated record
AGGUGUCACGGCUAUGGGGCCGGUGUUCCGCGUUCCUCCCCCGGCUCCAUGCGGAGCUGGCGGAUCGUAGCGGUGCCGCGCUCGCCAGCGGUUAAUAUCGGAGGAAUUUGUUCUGGAAGCGGUGCCCGCUCGGAGUUUCCAGCAAAUCCUGGAGCCCUCCCAGGCAUUUAAUCUCGGCGAAGGAAAUGAGAUAUCCAAAUCGGUUUCCCCACCUUCCUCUUGCCAUGAGAGCUCCUCAGCCGAGGUCUGGGUUUUGCGGCAGAAAGCAUCAGGUGGCUGAUGAUGAUGAUGAUGAUGAUGAUGAAAGAGCAAAUGACCGAGAGAGAAGCACCGAGCUCUCCUGGCAUGAAAGCAGACCCUCCUGCAGACUGCCCUUUGCCUCGAUGGAAAAACAUCUGCAAGUUUUUAUCCCUAGCUGAUGCCAUUCAUACACGUGUUUGUAAGCUGCACCUCCUCCUGACACCCCACACAGUGCUACCAAGCACCACUUUCCCAAGAAAUGUGAAAACUCGGCUGUCUUCAUUAAUAGGAGUACUUCUCCAACACCUCAUUGCCUGUUUUACGAGUGUUCCUGGUCUGUGUAGCCAGCUAUCACCCAACCACAGCCACAUCUUCUUUUCCUGCUUAGGAGGGAAGCAGCAGAGCUGGGAUGCCGGCAUAGAUGGGAUAAAUAGCAACAAAGAACACAGCACAUCUCCUCUGUUGGAUGUCACACAUUAAGUACUCCUAGCAGUGAUGCUUUGCUGUGGUCCAUGAGGACAAGAUGGAGUUUCAGGGAAUAACAAAUGAGAAGAUUUCGUGCACAGAAGUUUAAGAAAGCUGCAAACUGCAGGUGGACAAGCAUGCUAAAUUCAAGAGUGACUCAUAUGCUGUGUGAUGUCUGUUGGGCUCAAGCUGCAGGUCCCUCAAAAUCAGGGUUUUAUCGCACAGAAAUGAGCAGGUUUUUAUUGUGAGCUGCGACCACCAAUUCCUUACACGUUAGUGCUGGCAGAAAGUGGGUUAGAAAUGAAAGGAACAAUUUUAGACAUAUGGUGAUCUGGCAAAGCGCUCUGAAAUUUUAAUUAUGCUGUGGAAAGGUCAGGGCUGGAUCUGUGCUGGUGGAGGGAUAAUUUGCUUUUGUAGUUUACGAACAUGCCUUUCCAAAAUGAAAGGACUGAGAGCUGAAAAAUAAAGCGAAUGUCUCCUGUGCAGGCAGUUGAUUCUGAUCUGCUUUUAGAACAGCUUUGCAGAGUCAGGGCCAUCUCCAGGAUAAGAAGAGUAAGAAAUCUCCUUCCCUAACCCUGUUUUCAGAGGGGUAAGCUUGUAAAGAGAGGGUAACACUCCCUCAUUCAAAGGCCAAAUAUUAAGCACCAUCCCUAAAUUCAAAUGCAGCUCUUGAAAUAUCCUCAUCCUUUUCCAAUAUGAUGUUUGUUCACUGAGAGCAGCGGUGCUUGGUGCUGCACGUACCCGGGCAGUGGAACAUAACCCCGGAGCCUACAAGGAUGAGGCAGGCCCAGAAACAGAGAGGUGAAGUGGUUUACUUAAAGAUAAGGCUCAUCUCUCCCACCCCCCCAGCUAGAACCAGCUCCUUGAUUGCUUUAUCCCUGCGCACUUCCACUGACCUUGAUUUUUCACGUCGCUGGAGGGAUUCCAAAUGGCUUUGCUUUGCCAUGGGCAGGGCUCCUUUUUUUUUGCCUGGCUACCCACCUAUGUGUACCCGCUGCAGCACUGAUGGAAAAGGAAUCAGAGAACCAUCAAAGGAACAUGGGGUUGGUGCAGGGGCUGCAUGUGGAUCAGCACUGAUGGCCUUGGGCCUGGAGGGAUGUGUGCACGAAGUGGGUGAUGGAUCAGGUGGGAUGUAGAGCUGUAGGCUGGCCCUGUUAUAAGGAGCUGUUAUAAGGAGAUUAGAAAUUGUAAAGGAUGGGUAAAAUAGGGGACUGGGUGUUGAAGGAGAUAGGGAAGGGCUUAAUAGGAGCUGGGGAAAUUGGGCCCUGCUCAACAGUGAGGUCCUCCUCUCCAUGCCCAUGCCAGGAACUGGGAAGUGAAAUUGUGCAAAGUCUGGGGCCAGGGGGAGGAAAGAAGCAAAAAGAGAAAGAAAUCCAAGCUAAGAAGAAGGAGAA